This 71-nucleotide transfer RNA is filed under the name Bos taurus (domestic cattle). It matches the Rfam family "tRNA". Rfam says of the family: Transfer RNA (tRNA) molecules are approximately 80 nucleotides in length. Their secondary structure includes four short double-helical elements and three loops (D, anti-codon, and T loops). Lineage: Eukaryota; Metazoa; Chordata; Mammalia; Artiodactyla; Bovidae. The record is from Rfam by way of RNAcentral.
UCGUGGUUAUCUAGGUAAUUAAGAAUCUGCCUGUAAUGCAGGAUACCCAGGUUCAAUUCCUGGGUUGGGAA